RNAcentral lists this long non-coding RNA (366 nucleotides) under Felis catus (domestic cat). Its description in RNAcentral is "lncRNA (ENSFCAG00000049884.1)". The record is from RNAcentral. Lineage: Eukaryota; Metazoa; Chordata; Mammalia; Carnivora; Felidae.
AUGAAUGUUUUGGUUGGUUUGUGUGUUUCACCUAGAUUACUGGGCUGUGAUAGAAGCUUUAGACAGAUGGCUGAGGACACCACAGAAGAGAAUGGAAUCUUUCUGAAGGAGGGACCCAUAACCUUUCACCAGGGCAAGAAGUUUCUGCAGAACACGUGCUGGCUUAUUCAGGAAGAUCCUGCUGGGCCUGUUUGGGUGUCCUGGAGGGCAGUGCUUUGGGCCUGGGUCUUCAACUUGCCUUUGGGAUUUUGGUCAUCAGAAGUGAUCCUCAAUUUAAUGCACUUCAAUGGCUGGGAGACCAGGUUCAGGUGGAGGACACAUCUUAAGGACAAGAAGCUUCUAGAAAUGCAAGACCACUUAUUUUGA